This 29929-nucleotide long non-coding RNA is filed under the name Eucalyptus grandis. RNAcentral's name for it is "long non-coding RNA (EGRA_LNC005270)". The record is from RNAcentral. Lineage: Eukaryota; Viridiplantae; Streptophyta; Magnoliopsida; Myrtales; Myrtaceae.
CACUUCCGACCGCUCCUCAAUUUUCUCCAAAUUCAGGCGAAGAAGGGGCUGAACUGGAAAAAGAAAAAACAAGGGGGGGCUUUCUAGUCUUUUCAGCCGACGGAGAACCGGUUUCGGGUAGGUCGGUGGAUCCGGACCCGAUGAUUCCAGAAUAAAAGAAAGAAAACCCUGGAAGCCCUAGAGAAAUUGUCUCCAGUUCACACAGAUCCAGGAGAGAUGUCGACGAUGGGUCCAGAAGAGGUGACAGAAGCGGAAGGAGGAGGAGGAGAGAUGUCGAUGAGGGGUCCGGAAGAAGACAGGGAUGCGAUGAUAGCGGAGGCCAAGCGGUUCGUGGAGAACUACUACAGCACGUUCGACGCGAACAGGGAGGGCUUGGUGAACCUGUACCGGCAACGAUCGGUGCUGAAAAUCGAGGGCCGGAAGAUCCAGGGCAAGGAGGCUAUCCUCGCCAAACUCAUCUCCCUUCCGCAGCCGUGCCACCACGAAUUCCCCGAGAUCAGUUGCUGCACCUAUCGCUUGGCACCCGCAUCGGCAUCGGUCGCCGUGCGCGUCCUGGUCCGCGGCGGGACGUGGUUAGGCGGCAAGAAGGAGGAGGCGGACGCCGCCCUUAUACAGCAGGUCUCUCUCGUUCUCUCUAAGUUAUUAUUUCUUGUCAACGCUUUGCAAUUUCUCUUAUCGAUCAAUCCGUUAAUCAAUCGCAUCGCGCAUAAAUACCGAGAGUACAUCUCAAGCUCCUUGUCUAACGCUCUGGCUGGCUCUGAUUCUUAACCUUCAGAGCUUCAAUCUGGUGCCAGCACGAGGAGGAAGCUUUUACAUAGCUCGACAAUCUGGGAUGCUCUUUGAUCUCAAGAAGCCUCGGUCCGGGGGUCUGUCCUACUGGCUACCGAAACCUCCCUGCUCGGCAGCGCCCUUUCUUGGCCCGUUAUAUCAAAUCCUAUCCUCGGCAUACCCGCCGACGUCGGCUGCCACGGCACCGAGUACGCCUCCGCAUUUCGAACGCCUCAGCAUUUCGAAUCCGAAUGCCACCCAUGAUGAAACUUCCUCCGUCUCUACAGAGACCUGAUGAUAAAACUGUUUUACUUUCAAUGUUCUAGACUCUUGUUUUAUUUUCAAUGUUUUGUUGCACUACUUUUGUGAAUACGUAUUGGAUUCAUGUUCGAAUCCAAGUUCAGCAUAUGUCAUACUGCUCUUAUGAACUGAACUCAGUGGCAGGGCCUUCUAAUUCUCGUGGUAAUAUACUUAAUGCUUCAUGACAUUAGCAGUGAGGAUGUUAAUAUGAUGGACAUACAUGAUGGUGGCGCAAUACCUCGCCCAUGCUUCUAGAGGAAAUAACUUUUCUUUUAACAUACAAGUUUUAUUUCAUGACUUUAAUAUAGUACAGAUAAUCAUGAGUUAAGAUAAAAAUAAAUAGGGAGCAAUUUACAUUUUGGCCGCCAUCGGCGAAAUGGAAGGUAGACAGAUGACUCUAGGACUAGAAUAUUAUAGUAAAUACUUUGUAUCCCUAGUAUUGUUUUAUGUCCGUAUAAAUUGAACCCGACUCAUUCAGCACGAAACACUCUCAAUAGAAUUCCUAACACCAACUCGCGACACCUAAAAGACUAGGAUUGCCGACUUAUAGUCAUCUGACAAAACCAGGAUUUGAGAACCUCUGCCCAUAUAGGCAAAGGCAUUUGGAACAAUUCUGACAAAAUCAGGAUUUGAGAACCUUUGCCCAUAUAGGCAAAAGCAUUCGACAAAACCCGGAUUUGAGAACCUCUGCCUAUAUAGGCAAAGGCAUUUGAAACAAUUAUGACAAAAUCAGGAUUUGAGAACCUCCGCCCAUAUAGGCAAAAGCAUUCAGAACAAUUCUACUUCACCUUGCCGAGAUCUCUCUCUCUCUCUCUCUCUCUCUCUCUCUCUCUCUCUCUCCUCAUGUCAGCCACUACCCGGUGACAACUUAAACACAUGGAACCAAAAAUAUUGGCCCCCGAGGUCUCCGUGAAUUCUUUCAACUUUGUUCAUGCGCAUACCACUUGCAGUUCAGGUGCCUAAAGUAUUAGAAAAAACCAAAUCAAAUAAUCCUUGCCAGUCAAACUGGCUGAUAGAUAAUGCACUUGAAGGAUCCAUGAAGACCCACGAAGACCAUAUAAACCAUCAUUCGAUAUUGCCUUGACACAAAUUAUGGGAGGGUAGAGUGGCUUGACAGCCUCUGCAACAGAAGGACGACAAUACUGACUUUCAGACAACCCACCUUUUAGCAAAGUUGGGCGACAACCAUGGACCUGCUCAGCCCUCAAAUAUGCCCUAGCACUCCUUGGAGUAGACAAUUGCCCAUCAAUGAAUGCACGAAAGAAGUGAUACUGUAAAACAAAUCGAGGACAAAAACUUCAUGAACAUUUACUGGCUCAACGUGGCUGUUUAUUAUUUUUCCACCGAUUUUAUUGAUAACUGUCAAGAUUGUUGAGAGAAACAACAACAAAUUCAGGUAGCGGGUGUAUCGGGGAGCACAUUACACAAUGGACUUGAUCAUUUUCAUCCUCUGCUGGAGGGGGGAGAUUUCUUAGCCUCAGAUGGUUUGUCGAUGCCACAAUCAUGUUUGUUACACUUUGUCCGGAAUGAAUAAUUUACGUUACUGCAUUGCUCACACUUCCAACUACUCUCUGGCAUUUUUGUUUUGAAAGUCACUUUAUAAAUGAGUACCAAUAUAGACGAAUACGAGGCAAGCAACACGGCCAGUAGUGAUAACUUACUAUAGUUCUUUUCAGAGUUUGAAACCUGCAGUUGAAGAGCAUAAAAAUCUGUUAAUUUAAACCAAUAAGCACUCUUCAGCUGAAACAAAUUGGCUAGAGCAAAGUUAUAGCUCCGGAAUACGAUAAACACAUGAAAGAAAGCCACAAAGUUUAAUCUCCUCAAGCUGCUAAAUUGUUUGCCAAAGCAACACCGACCCAUGAUUCAGGCUUUGGAGCAUUGCACUCUUCACACCGUUCUAAAAGAGAAGUAAACAUUUCCACAAUCCGGGCACGUCCGAUCAUUAUCGCGUGUUGCAUCUACAACGUAUUUCAAGGAAAUCUAAUGUCAGUUGGAGAUAAACCGGUAUUCUUAUUGUUAAUUCUAAAAGCAAUCACCAGCACAUGGAAUACCAACCUGCCCCCUUCUUUUGAAGUUUAUCACCGGGGAAAAAUCCCGGCCGUGGUCCCUGGGAGAAUAAAUGCCAAAACAAUGACAUGCAGAAUAUCUGAAAUAGUGAAAAGGAAAAAGCAGCAACAUCCAAAGACAGAGAAAUUUCACAUAGAUCAUGCCACCGAACCCAUCGGAAGCCCCAGCCAUAUCUGUCCAUCAUAGGAGGCAUCCCAUACAUUCCACCUGAACCGAAUCCCUUAUGGGUCGUUUUUGUCAUAUGUUUCUUUUUUAAUUAUUCUUUUGCCAUUUGUCUCGUGUGUUUUCUUGCACUGUUGGUAUAGGUAUGUAAUACAGAUGCUUCCCUUACUGUUGGUAUCUAGUCAUAUAUAGUUUAAUGAACGAAAUCUCAAAUAAUUGGUAAAUCAUUGAAGGAAUGAUGAUUAUAUUAUGUCGGUAGUCUAAUACGCAAUAUAAUAGUCGGCAAUAUGCACCCGCUAUUUUGGGAUAGUGAUCUAAAUUUUCAUAAUCUCAUAUUAUACAACUCGUGAUGUGCUAUAAUCUUGAUUUCAAAUUAUAUCAAUCAAUGCUCGAAUUUCAAAUGCAAUUACUAUUUCAACUAUGCUGUUAAUUAUGUAAUAAAAAUAAAUUUAAUAGCAUAUUAUAUGACUAAGUACAGCCUAUUACCUUAAAUUAUUUAUUUAAUUUUACAUACCGAAUAGCGAUUUUUUGAUGAUAUAUAUAGAGUACUACACUCGCGAUCGAUAUUAGGUAAUAACUACCGUGACAUAGUAUUUGCUUUGAUGCAAUCCCACGUCAUACGCUUAACUUUUGAUCAUAAUCAAUAACUAAAUUAUUAAAAGUAUAAAUAAACAUUUGAUAGAACAUAUUGUGUAUACAAUAAUUUAUAUACAAUAAUUUAUAUAGGAAGCUAAACUCAUGAGUCAAAAUUAAUUUUGAUAUUCCUUCAAAUCUUGAUUUUAGGGAAGUAUUUUUAGAUUUCUGUUCUAUUUGGACCUGGAAGAGUUUAAUCGAAACGGGAGUAGUCGCAGGUAGAAUGCUUCCUGAUGCGGCCUUUUUGGGUUUGGCCCGUUUUGGGUGGGUGGGGAGGGGCAGAGUCGUGACUGAGUUGAGCCGCUUAGGGGCUAUUUGGGCUCUACUUAUUAAUCAAUCAUCAGAGCAUGAGCCUCUGGACUCAUGAUCACCACGUAAGCAGAAACCAUCUCAAGACAGAAAGAAAACCAGAUAGAGCUUGACGACAUUAGCUCAUAUGUGAAAGAACAGAGUCUAAUCCCCAUCGGAGGUUCCAUUUUAGCCAGGAUAGAACUUAAGCUCAACAGGUUGACAUUUAGGCAAGAGAUGAAGGAGAUGAGCAACCAUCUGUGGUAAGGGCUUGCAAGAAGCAAGAGACUCCAAGGACAAAUGGAAAAAGGGGUACUAAAAAAUUAAGAGAAUAGUUGGCUAGGAAAGGUCUCAUGAUGAUAAGAGAGGACAUAGACUUCUCCUUAAGUAUCAUGCGGAAGAAGCUAAAUAAUAUAAAGUGGCACCUGAGAAUAGACUCUUAACUUUACAAGUGACAUUCUAUCAUUCAGACCACCUGCUGUUAACAGAGGAGGAUUUAACUGUAUCAUGACAUAGAACAAAACAAAGCUACAAAAGUAAGCUAGACAGCUCCAGAUCUACCUAUCAAGAUUUCAAACUCAAGCGACUCCUCGACAAUGUUUUCUAGAACUCGAUGAUUUUUCUGUAACAUUCCCUUUGCUUUGCGACAAGCCAAAUAGUACAUCUGCGAAACAAGGAUCCAUCAAAGAAUCUUGCACUCGACCAGAGAUUUGCGGCUCUUUCAAUUUGGACUAUUGAAUAAUAGUAAGCCAGACAAAGCCUCAUAGCAACGGACAAAUGCCUUUUCGACUUUAGCAUGGUUGUUCCCCAUGCUCAAAGCUGUAACCUAGAGAAAUAGAAACGUACAAACAGAAUUAAGGUAAAGCGCAUCAAAGAUUCCCAGCUGGAACAUGAAGCUUCAAUACAUAACAGCGUCGAGAAUGAUCCGCAUUUGUCCAUUUCACAAUCAUAAAGUGCAUGCAAAAUGGACCGGAGAAGUACUGCACUACUGUGAUAGUAAAUUGCAGGACUGUCUCCGCCGGUACUUGUGGAUUCAAUCGUGCAAGAAGGGGGGACACCAUUUGCUUCUCAUCAAGCCCCCAACCGUACUGAAUGACCAUUCCUGUCGCCAUCCGUCACAGGUUAUGUAUCUUAAUAUAUAUGUCUACAUGUAUUCACCUUUCGCUGUGAGAGUUUUCUCAUGAAAGGUAAUCUAAGGUAGAGAACAUCGACAAACUUCUCAAAGCAUAAUGUUACAGGACCAACCUCUUGAGUUUGCUUCAGUUCGGAAGAAGAGAGAAAAUUCUUCCCCGGGAGGAAGUAGAAGCUGUGAAGCAACAUCCAAACCAAAGCAAAAUACAAGCUACUUUUCAAGGUAUGAUCUUAGUUCUGAGUUAGCAUUAACAGAGCCUUCACUCCGUGCCUCGGUGAUCUUUGUACAGCCAAUUCCCUGCAAGAAAGGGGUCAAAGUGAACGUCUUUAUAAGACCAAGGGCUCUAAAAUCCCAUAAGGCAUGCAUCUGCAAAUAACUUCUCCUGCGAAGAGGAGAACAAGAACAACCCAGGACACAUGUGGAUACGCUCAAUGUAGCACAAUGAUUAAAUUAAAUCUGCCAAAAUGCUCCAAUGACAGAUAAAGCCAUAAAUAGACAUCUCACGUCAUUGUGUUCGACUGUUUUGAUAUCCCGUUUCAUAUUAAACUCUUGAUCCUUAGAUACGACGGCAAGGAUCAUGGCCAACAAAAGCAUGGGACUGAUUCACUGAGUGCCCAGAUAAAGAAGGUAAUUUAUCAUUUCAAUAGCAUGAAUGGAUGACAGUACCACUGAAUGAAAAGUUCGAUAACGAACAACAUGCCAAUGCACAUAGCUUGUAAAGUGCCAGAAGGAAAAAGCACAAAAAAGAUUGAAAUGGCGAGCUGACAUCCAUGAAGGAUGACAUUCCCUGUUCAGCAGUAGAACAGGACCCCUAAAAUAGGAAUAAGGCUCUUGCAGGUACUUGCUCAUAAGCUUAAUAAGGCGCAUGCUAUUUCAUUACAAGAAAGAAAAAGAGGACAAUAACCUGCCACGAAGAUGGUUCAAGCCACAAAUUGUCGACUACAUCAAAGUUUGAUAGUCAAAGAGCUAUAAGGCCAUGACCAGCUGCCCAAACAGCAUGAGGGAACUUGGUUUCCUCUGUCCACUUUCAAAUCAUCCAUAUUAUGCAAGUCGCCUCGAAGAAACCAACGGAACUUGUACGCAUAAUGAUAUCAUCGUUUGUUCGCCGGUCUGGGUAUAUCAAGUUAGCUAAAUUUUUAGAACAAUGAUUCGUAUCUGAUAACCCUACCACCUUCUAUUUUUAACCACUGAAUUUGUUGUACUCCCGAUUCUUUAGAGUGCGCAAAAAAUAAAACAGCAGAAAUUUAUAGAUUAGAAUUUUGUCAAUUUUUAGAAUUGUUCGGAAGACAAUAGCCCGGGAUAGUCCAACAAACUAAUAGUAAGCAUCAAGGAGAAUUAAUUGAGCAUAACUCCAUUGUUUAUUUGGCCGUACGGUUCAAUUAGAUCAACGACAUUCUGUGAGUCCUCCUCAGUCAAUGUCAGCCCCAGAUGAUUCACCAGCAUUCGGCUAAUCUGCCUCACAACUUUCGUUUGCCGAAUCCAUUUAGGAACCAUAUUGCUCAAGGCCUAUGCAAAAUAAUGAGCGAAUAAUAUGCAUAUGGUAUAAAAUAUAUCACAUAAUGGGUAACCGCUCCAACCUCCAAAACUUCCAUUUUUACUCUCCUCCGAGAAUGAGAUUAGAGCACAAAGUCCCGGUGCUUAUUGGUUUUAGCAAAGAGAAAAUGAUCGAUUCAAGCAGAACUGAAUUUUGCUUCCCCUUACUCUUCGUCAAUUAUAAUUUAUUUUCCCUUUCCGCUGAACAAAAGAAAAAGGGACAUGCAGCCAGUUCCAUGGACCCCCGGGAAUCGGAUCGGGCAAAUCCGAAUCCAAAGCCGAAUAGGUUGGUUCCCAAUUUCACAAACUAGGACCCAGCCCCGUCUGGUCAAGUUCCCGGUUCCGGAGUGGGCCAAUUUAGCUCAGAAUCUACCCAUAAUCGGGUUCAAACAGUUCAGAGAAAAUUCAAAAUAACUUGGAAUUACCACCGCUCAAAGUUAGAAAAUCAAUCGUCAAAAAAAGUUAAAAAAUCAACAUCCCACUGAGAACCUUUCAGAUCAUCAUGUAACGUCAACUGAAAAUACAUUAGAUCAGAUCUAACGUAUUGUCUUCACUGACAUGUGCCGACUUUUGCCAACAAAUUGGAAGACGUUUAAUCCCCUUAAUCCCCUCGAUUUCUUCCUCGAUUCAAAAAUCUUCAAUCGGAAUUUAACUUUAUCAAUUCGCAAAGUUUCCAAAUCCAAUGGGGUGUCGGAACUUGUUCGGAGGUCUUGUGAGCAUGCAUCAAUCCCCGUUAGAUAUCAGAAUGAGGAGUCCAACAAGAGAAUACAGCUGAAAUCCAAGCGCCUCAAUUCUCAAGUCAAAUAUAAGCUAUCCAGAACUGCAAAUCCACCAGCGACUCCACCUUCAUGUGAUGAUGAUAUCUUUGUUCUCAUUAAAUAACCACACUGUUCAUUUACGAUGACAUUCUCUUUCUUCCUGGUAAGAUCAAUCUCAGAUUACCAUGAGCACAUCAAAUGCAUUUACAAACAUUGUCGCUGAAUUCACUAGUGCUAACACGUGCGAACAACGGUGCUGUAGAAGGCAUGAAAUAAAUUAAAAAAAGAAGCUUUGGUUAUCAGAUUUUCCCAUCCGACUCCAACUGCAAAGAUUAAAUUCCAAGUCAUUGAUUUUAAUUAAUCCGAGAUCACAUCCAUCAAACUAAUGAGAGAUGGAGCGACAUCAAAAAAUUACCUCACAUAAGCACCAUAUACCCCGAGUUCUGACAUGGCGUGAUCUUUAUAACAAAUGCCAUCACGAAUGAGAGUUGUGGGAGAAAUGGACGGAAAAAUUCUUUGCAUAAGGAUAUAGGCAGCAUCCUCCUCACUACCUUCACGUUGCAGCCUUAAUAGGGUUUCUCUCACGUCGUCGCCAUAGAUGUUGUUCCCUAAAGAGAGAAAUGACUUCAUUUUAGAAAGAAGAUAGCGCGGCUUAUAACAAAGCAAUCCUUGAAUAAUAUAAUCAAGGUGAGAGAUAAUUACCUCCCCCUUCCCUCUGGGGCUUCAUGACAAAUAGCUCGGGACUUUCAAUUGCUUUACCAACAAUAUGAGGGUCUUCUAAGCUCCAUAAACCUGCAAAGGAUUUCUGGAUCUCGGCAAUGUCUUCUUUGUUCUCAAGGAAUCUGAUAUAUGCACCAAUGGAGUCUCGUAAGUGAUCAAACACGUAGGAGAUAGAGUCUAUUCGACAGUGCAUCUUCUCCUGUAAUUAAAUUGACUUCUAAUGUUCCCAUCGAUAUGUUAUCGAGACUGUUCGGUAAGACAUAUGAAAGGAGCUAAAAUGGCCAUUUGGUAUUAAAAGUAGUCCUUAAUUCGCAGUCCUGGGUGCCAUUGAUUACAUCUAAGCUUCAAACUCAACUAAACAUCAUCAUAUUAGCUAUUGUUGUAUGCAUAGCACACAUCUAUAUACAUUUGUGCUUCAGGAGUUUUUCCAGGAAUGGUACGAUUCCAUAUAAAGCACAGAGCAUCCAGCGCCGCUGCUGGUGGCGCUGUCCUGCCUUCCUCCAUAUCCGGGAGCCCCACCUCCUCCAGUACCGCCUCCAGUAGUGCCUGUGCCCGGGAUCGGUCCUCCUCCAACUCCUCCGCUGCCUGUCCUUCAUCCAUGGCAUCUGGUUCCGUACGGAAGACGGAAAAUACAAGGGUUGCUCCCUGCUGUGCUGUCAUUUGCAGAAUAAAACUCUAGAGCAAAACACAAAUCAGUAUUCUUCCUAUUCCCAAAAAAAAGACAGCAAAAGAAAAGAGAAUACAUGGUUGAAGUUGUAUGGUAGCACAACUUCCUCUUCCCUCCCAUACUGUCCACCAAAGGAGGCGUAGAUGCGUUGAGCGACGUGGUCAACGAACGCAUCGAACUCAUCCAAAUUGAACUUGAAACUAUCCAAGCCGUUCACAAAUGCAGCAAUGGCGUCUGGGGUCCCAAGACGGACCCCAUCAAAAUCCAUGCUCGCUUCAUCAUAAAAGCUUAUCAGCUCUUGCCUAUCUGUUUCCAAAGAAAGAUGGUAUAAUGUACCCCAUUCUGCCGCCAGGUCUUUGAGUCCUUCAUCAUCCAUACCUCUGUUCUGUUCAAGAACAACAGGUGCAACCAACAUACGCAUAAAGAAAAAAAGGAAAAAAAAAAUGGCAGAGCUCGACCUCAUUUCCACAUACUGACCUGUCGACGACGCUCGAAGGGAAAAAGACGGUGGAGCCUCACCGCGAUCGCCGUCCGACGUUUGCAGAGAUUCGACGACGAAAUGAGAGAGCGGGGCGGUAUUCUGUUUAGGAUGACCGAGAAAUGGGUUUUCUCUUCCACCAAUCAGAGUUUUAAAUUUGGGAAAACACGUUUCGCGACGUCGUUUAUACUAUGUAUGCGGAGUUAGAGCAUGGGUGAGCCAAGUCAGAUUGAAAAAAAAAAAAAAAUUGAUAAAAUAUUACUUAUUUUGAAUUUUCAACUAUUCAAAUCAAAGUUAACACUUGAAGUGAAUCAAUAAAGCUACAUCUACCACCACCGCCCGGCCACCAAUCUUUCCUUACACGAGAUACGAGAUUCGAGAUUGGACAGGAUAAUUCCUACUCGCCGACAUUAGACAACUCUCAAAUGGAUGAACUGGCAUUGGAUAGAGCCGUCUGAUUGGGGCAUUUUUCUGCUUCUAGGGUUUGUGUGUGGAAAUCGAACUUACUUAAAUUGUGAAGAUGUUUAAACCAAUUCGAAUUUUGUGAAAGAUAUUUCUGCUUCUAGGAUUUGUGUGUGUGGAAAUCAAACUUACUUAAAUUGUGAAGAUGUUUAAACCAAUUCGAAUUUGUGAAAAACACGUACACAUCAGCAUUCAAAGCCCCCCUCAAAUUUAGUCGGGAUAUUUCUAUUAAUCAAGAUAAUAUAUAUAAUGAUUUCCCAACAAUAGUCAUAAAACUUAUUAUAAGGAUACCAAUUCAGUCUAAAAUUUUUCAAUUUGGUUAAUUCAGUCCUAACCUUUUAUUAAGAUUUGUCAAUAGUCUAUUCGAGCAAUUUUAAAUGACGAUAGGUGGUUGUUAGCCAAAAUUGACCGAAAUUGCUAUAUUGGUAAAUCUUCAAAAGUUUAGAAUUGAAUUAACAAAUUGAAAUUUUUUGAUUGAAUUUGCAUUUAUAUAUUAAGCUUGAGACUUAAAAAGAAAAAUCUCAUGUGCAUCGGUGGAGAAUCCGAAUGCGGUGUCAUAUCUUUUCAUUUGAAAUGUCAAUGUUUGAUACGCAUGCUGUGUUAAGCUGUAUAACGACAUGAAAACCAAAGUCCGUACAUCAUAUCUGGAAAGAUUUCGAUCGGCUAAGGACAAAUACCCAGUUAUUAUCCUACAUGGGAAAUCCGCCAACCGCGCGGUGGCAAGUCAAUGAUUUCAUCUCAAGGAUUGACCACCGAGGUGGCCAGAGCAGCACCUCACAUUUGGCUUUUGUAGAAGAAGAAUCAAAGCGCUUUUCUUUUUGGUAUAUCUAUGAUGAUGAUGAUAUUAUUAUUAUUAUUAUUAUUAUUAUUAUUAUUAUUAUUAUUAUUAUUAUUAUUAUUAUUAUUGAUCUAAUUCUCACGCACUCAAUAUAAUAUUCACACAUACCACGAGGACAUCUAGAGGACCGCAUGCACAUACGUAAGGUAUUCAUUUAUUUAUUCUUGGGUUUCCACGUUGUCUCUUCCUUUUUCUCCUUUUUCUUUUUUCAUUUUUAUAUUCCUUAGAAAUUAGCAGCCCCUUUAGAAGAAGCCUCUAUUCAAGGGGAAGAAAAGGUCGUCCCGGACUCCCCCAUCAUUGAGGUUCCACUAAAAUGACCAUUAAUUCAGGUUUUAAAUUCAAAGAGAUGAUCUCAGGUACCAACUCCUAACAAAAAAAUUAAAUUGGUCUAUACCAUGGUUUUGAUAAUUCAAACAUGAAUGUUUGUCUAAGGGAGAACCAUCACUUCAACGGGUUGCUUAUUAAACUCUCUUUUGAACUUAUCGUGGAAUCAAGCUGAAUUUCAGAUGAUGACAACAAGAGCAUAUGCAGGUGCAUGGUGCUUGCAUGUAUCUUUGCGAUAUAUGGGAAAUUGGGCCAUUUGCAUGAAAAAGUUGUAGGUGCUUCUUACUUUCUUAGUUUGCUAUUGAAAGCACACGGAAAUCGAAAACCAUGGAGAAGUCUAUCAAGUGACUAAACUUGAUUAAUUUGUAGAGCAUGGCACCUGGAGUUAGGCGUAUCGUCGGUUUUGAAUUUCAACUGGUUGUUUAUUAAACUCUCUUUUGAACUUAUCGUGGAAUCAAACUGAAUUUCAGAUGAUGGCAUCAAAAACAUGUACAAGUCGCCACGCCUGCGUGUAUAUUUGCGAUAUAUGGAAAUGGAAAUCAAAAUCGGGCCACUUGCAUGGAAAAAGUUGGAAUUGCUUUUUACUUUCUUAGUUGGCUAUUGAAAGCACACGGAAAUUGAAAACUAUGGAGAAGUCCAUCAAGUGACUAACCUUGAUUAAUCUGUAGAGUUAGGCGUACCGUCGGUCUUGAAUUUUCCAUAUGCAUCGUGAUGGGGGUAUAGAUAAGGGCUUUGCCUAGUAGAGAGGGGUGCGCACGCUAAAUUUUCAGCAUUAAGCUAAAACAUUCUCCUGUGGGUGAUCUAUAGUCUACUGACGCUAGACGCUCUUCUUUUUUCUUUUUCUUUUUUUUUUUUUUUUUUUGGGUGUGAAAUUAAAAAAGAAAAAAGAAGUAAAAGAAGUAAAACUUGUUAGAAACAAUAAUUAUCAAGUUGGAAUGUAGAAAUCAUGUUCAAUGUAUUGUUACUGUGAUUUAAUAUUUGCUUCUUUUCGUUUCUAAUUUGCUAAUAACUUGACAUCCCUUCUAUAGUUAAAAAGGAUUGUGAUAGUUGCGGACGAAGACUUUUGCAUUACAUUGUUUAGGCUGUUCUUUCACAUGCAUUGCUUGUCACUAUAUAGUAAUGAUAUUUUAAAAUGAGCAAUAAACUUACAUCUUAACCCAUAUUUGAUAAGUUGAGUUAUUGCAUGGAUUAGUUAUAUUUAGUAAAUGGAUUUAAAAUAGUAAAGUCUAAGAUAAUAUGGAUAUUAAACAAACUCACAGUUUACUUAAACCAAUUCACCUCUAUGACUCUCUCUCGCCCUUACUGAUCUCGCAAUCACUCACUCCACGUCCUUACCUCAGUUUGCAUAUGAGUUUUCCUAUAUUAGGUAGAACAUGAAAGCGCUUUAACCAUAUGAAUUAGGUUAGAUAGAAAAACGCGUCGGAUCAUUAUGAGUAUCUAAAUUUGUAUUGCAUAAAAAUAAGUCAAAACAACUUAAAUUGGCCAAAUUAGGUCAAUCUAUUUUUCACUCAACCCAAACCCAACCUAAUCCACCCAUUUCACGAGUCUCUAUAAUACUAAGUAUUAGGUUUUUAUCUCUUGUUUCCAACUAUACAAUUUCUUUUUUUUUUUUCUAAAGUAUUAAAGCUCGAUGGUCAGAGUUCUAAUCCUAACCCCAACACAUACUUUUCUUCACGCGUACUUCGAUUUUUGGCAUGCCCACAUUUGUCUACCUUUUCCAUUCUUGUUGUCAUAGAAUCCUCACCAUGUCCUAAAUUGAGGAAUGAAUUAGACUGAAGAAGUAAUUUCGUAGGGAAGUCGACUCAUGCCGUUUGUUGAGAAGAUCGCCUCAAAGUAAAUGGAUUGAUUCGCUUGGAGGAAAUUAAUGUGCAGAUGUCGGUGCGUUUGACAUUUUUUUUUUUUUUUUAAAAUAUCAUUUGUAUUGAAUGACUAAAAGGUAUUUUUAUAUUUCUAUGCAAAUAUUUAAAAAUAAAUGGUUAUCGAUAAAGAAAUUACUUUGUAUUGAUUAAUUAUUUCAUAAAAUAAGCAAUUAUUUUUAAAAUAUAUAUUUUCAGAUUAUUUAUUUUUCACCAAACAAACGGAGUUUGCCUAAUUGUUCGAUUGAUGCUAUUGGUGUUUCUUUUCAAUUCAAUCGUCACGAUAGCAAUAUGAUUAGAUCUUUUUAAAGUCUGAUUCGUUUGCUUUUACGCUAGGAUUUAUAUUUCCUUAAAAGACUUUGAAACCACAUAGCGGUACCUCUCUUGCAUACAUGCUCUUGGGACCACUAUAGUUAAUGCCCAGAUGUGAAGUUGCUUUGGUCACCCCUCCCAACCCAUUUUAAUCUAAAAUAAAAUAUUGACAGAAGGAUAAUAACUCACUCAGCACAUAUCCGAACUUUUGUCCAUCUUAUUAUCAAAUAUCUCAACUUUUUAUUUAUUUGAUCAAGUACCUCAAUUAUUCAAAUUUAACUCAAUAAAAGAUCUCUAGAGAAUAAAUUGUAUUCAUUUCUGUUUUGACUUUUUCAACAACGAAAACCUCUGGCAUAUGAUAUGGCUCGAGUCCUCCACAACUCCAUUAAGCAUUGAUGGAGGAGACUCGUCGUCAAAAGGAACUGCUGAUGAAAAUUCCACUCUGAGAAAGGUACCCACGUAAUUGGAACGGCAGUAGGGAUCCCAGAAGCAAGCAUCUUCACGUACAACCCAUCAAAGCCCCCAAACUCUUCAAACAGCCUUUCAAAUUCCUGGAAUCAUGCAGAAUAACAUUAAAAACCCAAAGAAAUGAAUAAUGCAAAGAAGAAACUAUAAGUUGAAAGAUGCAGUACCUUGAUGUUGACAUGAUAUUCCUUUGUGUCCCCCCUUCAAAGCACCCCAAUCAUGUCUGAAUUGUGCACUGUCUAUAAGCUUCUUGGAUGCAGCAUAAGUUACAGCUACGAGAUCCAUUUCCCACCUAUUUUUCACAUCAUUGUACCUUGUUUUGGACCUCGGUCCAAGAGAAUCUGUUCCUUCAAAGGUGUAAAAAAAUCCAUCAAUCCAAAUUCAGGCGAAGAAGGGGCUGAACUGGAAAAAGAAAAAACAAGGGGGGGCUUUCUAGUCUUUUCAGCCGACGGAGAACCGGUUUCGGGUAGGUCGGUGGAUCCGGACCCGAUGUUUCCAGAAUAAAAAAGAAAACCCUGGAAGCCCUGGAGAAAUUGUCUCCAGUUCACACAGAUCCAGGAGAGAUGUCGACGAUGGGUCCAGAAGAGGUGACAGAAGCGGAAGGAGGAGGAGGAGAGAUGUCGAUGAGGGGUCCGGAAGAAGACAGGGAUGCGAUGAUAGCGGAGGCCAAGCGGUUCGUGGAGAACUACUACAGCACGUUCGACGCGAACAGGGAGGGCUUGGUGAACCUGUACCGGCAACGAUCGGUGCUGAAAAUCGAGGGCCGGAAGAUCCAGGGCAAGGAGGCUAUCCUCGCCAAACUCAUCUCCCUUCCGCAGCCGUGCCACCACGAAUUCCCCGAGAUCAGUUGCUGCACCUAUCGCUUGGCACCCGCAUCGGCAUCGGUCGCCGUGCGCGUCCUGGUCCGCGGCGGGACGUGGUUAGGCGGCAAGAAGGAGGAGGCGGACGCCGCCCUUAUACAGCAGGUCUCUCUCGUUCUCUCUAAGUUAUUAUUUCUUGUCAACGCUUUGCAAUUUCUCUUAUCGAUCAAUCCGUUAAUCAAUCGCAUCGCGCAUAAAUACCGAGAGUACAUCUCAAGCUCCUUGUCUAACGCUCUGGCUGGCUCUGAUUCUUAACCUUCAGAGCUUCAAUCUGGUGCCAGCACGAGGAGGAAGCUUUUACAUAGCUCGACAAUCUGGGAUGCUCUUUGAUCUCAAGAAGCCUCGGUCCGGGGGUCUGUCCUACUGGCUACCGAAACCUCCCUGCUCGGCAGCGCCCUUUCUUGGCCCGUUAUAUCAAAUCCUAUCCUCGGCAUACCCGCCGACGUCGGCUGCCACGGCACCGAGUACGCCUCCGCAUUUCGAACGCCUCAGCAUUUCGAAUCCGAAUGCCACCCAUGAUGAAACUUCCUCCGUCUCUACAGAGACCUGAUGAUAAAACUGUUUUACUUUCAAUGUUCUAGACUCUUGUUUUAUUUUCAAUGUUUUGUUGCACUACUUUUGUGAAUACGUAUUGGAUUCAUGUUCGAAUCCAAGUUCAGCAUAUGUCAUACUGCUCUUAUGAACUGAACUCAGUGGCAGGGCCUUCUAAUUCUCGUGGUAAUAUACUUAAUGUUUCAUGACAUUAGCAGUGAGGAUGUUAAUAUGAUGGAUAAACACUGCUCCUCUCGACAAUACCUCGCCCAUGCUUCUAGAGGAAAUAACUUUUCUUUUAACAUACAAGUUUUAUUUCAUGACUUUAAUAUAGUACAGAUAAUCAUGAGUUAAGAUAAAAAUAAAUAGGGAGCAAUUUACAUUUUGGCCGCCAUCGGCGAAAUGGAAGGUAGACAGAUGACUCUAGGACUCUCUACCAACGAAUUCAGCGGAGCGAGCCGGUCAUUUGACAAGUUGAUUAUGACAUUUUCAGAUAAAUGCAGGAGAAGCGUAUCCUUUUUUUACACCUUUAUUUGAGACUUUGCGGGGCUCCUCCCUUGCAUUGACCGUGCUUAUCCAGCGUCGAGAUUGAUCCGCAUUUGUCCAUUUCACAAUCAUAAAGUGCAUGCAAAAUGGACCGGAGAAGUACUGCAUUACUGUGAUAGUAAAUUGCAGGACUGUCUCCGCCGGUACUUGUGGAUUCAAUCGUGCAAGAAGGGGGGACACCAUUUGCUUCUCAUCAAGCCCCCAACCGUACUGAAUGACCAUUCCUGUCGCCAUCCGUCACAGGUUAUGUAUCUUAAUAUAUAUGUCUACAUGUAUUCACCUUUCGCUGUGAGAGUUUUCUCAUGAAAGGUAAUCUAAGGUAGAGAACAUCGACAAACUUCUCAAAGCAUAAUGUUACAGGACCAACCUCUUGAGUUUGCUUCAGUUCGGAAGAAGAGAGAAAAUUCUUCCCCGGGAGGAAGUAGAAGCUGUGAAGCAACAUCCAAACCAAAGCAAAAUACAAGCUACUUUUCAAGGUAUGAUCUUAGUUCUGAGUUAGCAUUAACAGAGCCUUCACUCCGUGCCUCGGCGAUCUUUGUACAGCCAAUUCCCUGCAAGAAAGGGGUCAAAGUGAACGUCUUUAUAAGACCAAGGGCUCGAAAAUCCCAUAAGGCAUGCAUCUGCAAAUAACUUCUCCUGCGAAGAGGAGAACAAGAACAACCCAGGACACAUGUGGAUACGCUCAAUGUAGCACAAUGAUUAAAUUAAAUCUGCCAAAAUGCUCCAAUGACAGAUAAAGCCAUAAAUAGACAUCUCACGUCAUUGUGUUCGACUGUUUUGAUAUCCCGUUUCAUAUUAAACUCUUGAUCCUUAGAUACGACGGCAAGGAUCAUGGCCAACAAAAGCAUGGGACUGAUUCACUGAGUGCCCAGAUAAAGAAGGUAAUUUAUCAUGUCAAUAGCAUGAAUGGAUGACGGUACCACUGAAUGAAAAGUUCGAUAACGAACAACAUGCCAAUGCACAUAGCUUGAAAAGUGCCAGAAGGAAAAAGCACAAAAAAGAUUGAAAUGGCGAGCUGACAUCCAUGAAGGAUGAUGACAUUCCCUGUUCAGCAGUAGAACAGGACCCCUAAAAUAGGAAUAAGGCACUUGCCGGUACUUGCUCAUGAGCUUAAUAAGGCGCAUGCUAUUUCAUUACGAGAAAGAAAAAGAGGACAAUAACCUGCCACGUACAUGGUUCAAGCCACAAAUUGUCGACAACAUCAGAGUUUGAUAGUCAAAGAGCUAUAAGGCCAUGACCAGCCGCCCAAACAGCAUGAGGGAACUUGGUUUCCUCUGUCCACUUUCAAAUCGUCCAUAUUAUGCAAGUCACCUCAAAGAAACCAACGGAACUUGUACGCAUAACGAUAUCAUCGUUUGCUCGCUGGUCCGGGUAUAUCAAGUUAGCUAAAAUUUUAGAACAAUGAUUCUUAUCUGAUAACCCUACCACCUUCUAUUUUUAACCACUGAAUUUGUUGUACUCCCGAUUCUUUAGAGUGCGCAAAAAAUAAAACAGCAGAAAUUUAUAGAUUAGAAUUUUGUCAAUUUUUAGAAUUGUUCGGAAGACAAUAGCCCGGGAUAGUCCAACAAACUAAUAGUAAGCAUCAAGGAGAAUUAAUUGAGCAUAACUCCAUUGUUUAUUUGGCCGUACGGUUCAAUUAGAUCAACGACAUUCUGUGUGUCCUCCUCAGUCAAUGUCAGCCCCAGAUGAUUCACCAGCAUUCGGCUAAUCUGCCUCACAACUUUCGUUUGCCGAAUCCAUUUAGGAACCAUAUUGCUCAAGGCCUAUGCAAAAUAAUGAGCGAAUAAUAUGCAUAUGGUAUAAAAUAUAUCACAUAAUGGGUAACCGCUCCAACCUCCAAAACUUCCAUUUUUACUCUCCUCCGAGAAUGAGAUUAGAGCACAAAGUCCCGGUGCUUAUUGGUUUUAGCAAAGAGAAAAUGAUCGAUUCAAGCAGAACUGAAUUUUGCUUCCCCUUACUCUUCGUCAAUUAUAAUUUAUGUUCCCUUUCCUCUGAACAAAAGAAAAAGGGACAUGCAGCCAGUUCCAUGGACCCCCGGGAAUCGGAUCGGGCAAAUCCGAAUCCAAAGCCGAAUAGGUUGGUUCCCAAUUUCACAAACUAGGACCCAGCCCCGUCUGGUCAAGUUCCCGGUUCCGGAGUGGGCCAAUUUAGCUCAGAAUCUACCCAUAAUCGGGUUCAAACAGUUCAGAGAAAAUUCAAAAUAACUUGGAAUUACCACCGCUCAAAGUUAGAAAAUCAAUCGUCAAAAAAAGUUAAAAAAUCAACAUCCCACUGAGAACCUUUCAGAUCAUCAUGUAACGUCAACUGAAAACACAUUAGAUCAGAUCUAACGUAUUGUCUUCACUGACAUGUGCCGACUUUUGCCAACAAAUUGGAAGACGUUUAAUCCCCUUAAUCCCCUCGAUUUCUUCCUCGAUUCAAAAAUCUUCAAUCGGAAUUUAACUUUAUCAAUUCGCAAAGUUUCCAAAUCCAAUGGGGUGUCGGAACUUGUUCGGAGGUCUUGUGAGCAUGCAUCAAUCCCCGUUAGAUAUCAGAAUGAGGAGUCCAACAAGAGAAUACAGCUGAAAUCCAAGCGCCUCAAUUCUCAAGUCAAAUAUAAGCUAUCCAGAACUGCAAAUCCACCAGCGACUCCACCUUCAUGUGAUGAUGAUAUCUUUGUUCUCAUUAAAUAACCACACUGUUCAUUUACGAUGACAUUCUCUUUCUUCCUGGUAAGAUCAAUCUCAGAUUACCAUGAGCACAUCAAAUGCAUUUACAAACAUUGUCGCUGAAUUCACUAGUGCUAACACGUGCGAACAACGGUGCUGUAGAAGGCAUGAAAUAAAUUAAAAACAGAAGCUUUGGUUAUCAGAUUUUCCCAUCCGACUCCAACUGCAAAGAUUAAAUUCCAAGUCAUUGAUUUUAAUUAAUCCGAGAUCACAUCCAUCAAACUAAUGAGAGAUGGAGCGACAUCAAAAAAUUACCUCACAUAAGCACCAUAUACCCCGAGUUCUGACAUGGCGUGAUCUUUAUAACAAAUGCCAUCACGAAUGAGAGUUGUGGGAGAAAUGGACGGAAAAAUUCUUUGCAUAAGGAUAUAGGCAGCAUCCUCCUCACUACCUUCACGUUGCAGCCUUAAUAGGGUUUCUCUCACGUCGUCGCCAUAGAUGUUGUUCCCUAAAGAGAGAAAUGACUUCAUUUUAGAAAGAAGAUAGCGCGGCUUAUAACAAAGCAAUCCUUGAAUAAUAUAAUCAAGGUGAGAGAUAAUUACCUCCCCCUUCCCUCUGGGGCUUCAUGACAAAUAGCUCGGGACUUUCAAUUGCUUUACCAACAAUAUGAGGGUCUUCUAAGCUCCAUAAACCUGCAAAGGAUUUCUGGAUCUCGGCAAUGUCUUCUUUGUUCUCAAGGAAUCUGAUAUAUGCACCAAUGGAGUCUCGUAAGUGAUCAAACACGUAGGAGAUAGAGUCUAUUCGACAGUGCAUCUUCUCCUGUAAUUAAAUUGACUUCUAAUGUUCCCAUCGAUAUGUUAUCGAGACUGUUCGGUAAGACAUAUGGAAGGAGCUAAAAUGGCCAUUUGGUAUUAAAAGUAGUCCUUAAUUCGCAGUCCUGGGUGCCAUUGAUUACAUCUAAGCUUCAAACUCAACUAAACAUCAUCAUAUUAGCUAUUGUUGUAUGCAUAGCACACAUCUAUAUACAUUUGUGCUUCAGGAGUUUUUCCAGGAAUGGUACGAUUCCAUAUAAAGCACAGAGGAUGAAGAAAUGUGAUCUGUUGAACAAAAUAUAUCACCUUUCAAGUACAUUAGGUUUUGCAAGUUCUUGCUGAAUCUUUUUCGUGCCGGCUAAAUGAUAAGAUAUGGAUGGGCACUUAAUUGCAGAUGACUCUUCCGUAAGUAGCCUUGCUCUCCAUUCCUACAAUACAGCAAGAAACAAAACUUAAGUCACACCUUUCAAGCAUUGACCCAGGGCUUAAGAUUUCCGCACUUCUUACUAUUUUAUAACAUAGGGUUUUCAAGUGGCACUAAUUUGACGCCUGUCAACUUCUUGAGGUUGUGUGAAGAAUGGAUUUCAUAUUUCCUCUUAUUGGUUUCUUUCCAUUCCCUCUGUUUACUUACUUUGUGGAUAAUCAUUUAUUUGCCUUCCACCCAGAAAUUUUUUUAAGUUGAUGAUAUUUUCUGGAACAAAGUCCACUUUUUCCAUAACCAAUUGGACAAACUUGGUUAUUUGGAGGAAAUGUCAUGAUUACAUUGUUUAGUAUUCUUUUACAUCGCAUAAUGCUAUAUGUUUUGAACAUGAAGUCAAUUGUUUAGCCAAGCUUGGCUUACGAAUGUUCAUAUGUACAUUAUCAAGUAUUGUUCAUUGUGGCCAGUCUCAUGGAAUUAUGAUAUAGUAAUGAGGGAAUCCUAACAAUCAAAAUGUGCAGGAAAUAGAGAAGUAUAUUAUAAUCAUGAAUCUAACAGAAAUAAUCGACUUGCAUAAAACAUCAUGAUGAUACUAAUAAUUGUUCUAUUCAGUCAUCAAGACAUAUAAAAGCGAAUCUUUAUGAAAACUAGAGUAAGGAUGCAGUCACUAUAACAUUGUAAGAAAUGCUGCCACAGAAAUAUUUUAUGAGAAGAAUAAAACCCGCCUCAAACGCGGGAUUUUCACUAGUAUGGUAAUAAAACAUAUCUAUAAAGAAAGCAUCUGGUAAAGCUAAAAUGGAAGGAGAAAUUUUCUGAAAAUUAAUCACAGCUACAGUCAAUAUUUCAAGGAAGACAAUCUUCUCUUAGUUGCUAUUAGCUAAUUAUUAGGAUAAGGCUUAAGGAUGUACCGAUUCUGAAGGAUAAUCAUUUGGGGUAUACCCGGCUCUAAAAUAAAUAGCUGCUACAGGGACUCCACCUCUUGCAAUAGCAAAUCUUCAUUAUGUAAGUGAAACGUGCAUGUAAAGCCAAAGUUCAACAAGAUAAACUAGAGAUGUCAGCAACUACAUACACAAGUAACGUCCCAUCAGGCUGAAGUUCCCCCUCUGCAUCAAUUUCUGCUAAGGUCUUCCGAAUAGACCUCACAUUAUGUGUGUUAUAUAAUUAAGGAAGCAUCCAAAGCAAAUUAUGGACAUGAAGAGACUGAUGGACAGAAAUAGAGAACUUUAUAGUUUGGAAAGCAGAUUUUUGGACGCAGAGCAUCAUAGCAGAUAGAUGUAGAAUCCAAGAAAUGAUCUAAGAGAGACAAAGAGAGAUAAUCACAGAUAUAACCUACCCUUCUGAUAUCUCAAAACAAUCGCUAGUAUAUAGAAGGAUAUCUUUCGCUCACGACAGAGCUAAGCCAGUGCAGGUCGUACAUAUUUCGUUCCUCUGUCUGAACCACAACCAGAACAGUGGCCCUGUUAAAAGUAAUCAAUUGUAAUCAGGUCUUAAUGAAAUAUACUCCACAUAUGCAGACCUAUGAAUAAAAAAAAGAAAAGAAGACGACCAUAAUUAUUUUGCAAUUCUUACUUUGGGUUAUUGAACUCGAUCCAAGCUUUGGCCAAGGCCUCUGCAUAAUGACUCACAGCAGCAUUGGUAGGGAUCCUCCUGGGAUCUAACCCAAGAGUUUCGCCAUAAUGGCUGAGCAAGGACCCGUGUCAUUGCCACCUGACGUUAAGAUCAAGCUUUUGGUCUUCUGUGACCAUCUUUGACCGUGCAUGUGAACAGGUGCGUAUGGGCUUAGAGAAAUCACAGGGAAUGUAAGAGUCAGUACAUAUGACCAACCUAACCUGUGGAGCUCACUAACAAGACAGCCAAGACCCGGAAAUGAGGAUGAUAUGGUGUUCAGUUCUAUCUGAAGCAGUAACUUCGUUUGUUCAUCAAGCGUAUAAUCCGAUUGAUGCAAACCCAGUCGUAUCUCCUGUGGAGAAUUGAGAGAGCAAAAUUAUGGGGUUUAGCACACUAAUCAUAUUCAGCAAUCAGCAUAUUUUUCUUCCAGACGAGGAAAGCAGCCAAUCAAAGUGACAUGAACUUGAAAAGCCAGUUUUAAUACACUAUUGCAACCAAACUUAAGGUAAAGCUUUCACAAAAUUCUAAAUUUAUGAACUUACAUCUUUUUUAUUAAUUUCCAUCAUCUUGGAAUGGAUAUCUACGAGUCGAGAGGUGAAAGCAUCCACCUCUUUUGUUCUGCAAUGAGAAGAAGUUACAUCAUGUAAUUCAACAGUAAGUUCGGACUUGCUUCACCAAUGCGACAACUAAAAGCCGGACUACAAAAAUACCAUUGAUUGCAAGGAAGGUAGAAGGGCUCAUAAUUUCCAAAAUACUAGGUUAUGAGAAAAAUAGAAGAGCUAAAAGGAGUUGAAUUUUUCAUAAGCUAAGAAACAACCAAGAGCAUAUGAUACAAGCCAAAGCAGAGUGAGAAUUGAAUCAGACCUAAGAAUUCACAUGAAACAAUGGUCUUAAUCUUCUUGAAUUGGACACUAUAUGCUUAUAGCAUAAACUACAUGCCGUAUUCGACCAAAAGAAGAAAAAAAAAAAAAACUACAUGCUGCAGACAUAUAGAUAAAGCAGAAUAAAUACCUGGAUAAUGAAUCUUGUAAAAACUUUCCAUCCAAACUCACACGAUCGACAAGCUCAUUGAAAAUAGGAGCUAAUUCGCAAGCCUCCCUAAACUGACUCUCGGGAAUGAGAUGGGCAACAAAGCAAACGGAGCAUGCAUCAGACCGACACCAGGUGCUUUUCCUGAUCUCUGCAACACAUACGCAUAAAUACCAUUAUCAGUCAAACUGUAGAAUUAAACAACCCAGAUCAAAUUCGACAGGAAACUCCAUAAACAGCACAUCAGAAAGUCGCAUAUUCCAAGUCAUUGAUUUUGAUUAAUCAGAGAUCACAUCCAUCAAACUAAUGAGAGAUGGAGUGACAUCAAAAAAUUACCUCACAUAAGCACCAUAUACCCCGAGUUCUGACAUGGCGUGAUCUUUAUAACAAAUGCCAUCACGAAUGAGAGUUGUGGGAGAAAUGGACGGAAAAAUUCUAUGCAUGAGGAUAUAGGCAGCAUCCUCCUCACUCCCUUCACGUUGCAGCCUUAAUAGGGUUUCUCUCACAUCGUCGCCAUAGAUGUUGUUCCCUAAAGAGAGAAAUGACUUCAUUUUAGAAAGAAGAUAGCGCGGCUUAUAACAAAGCAAUCCUUGAAUAAUAUAAUCAAGGUGAGAGAUAAUUACCUCCCCCUUCCCUCUGGGGCUUCAUGACAAAUAGCUCGGGACUUUCAAUUGCUUUACCAACAAUAUGAGGGUCUUCUAAGCUCCAUAAACCUGCAAAGGAUUUCUGGAUCUCGGCAAUGUCUUCUUUGUUCUCAAGGAAUCUGAUAUAUGCACCAAUGGAGUCUCGUAAGUGAUCAAACACGUAGGAGAUAGAGUCUAUUCGACAGUGCAUCUUCUCCUGUAAUUAAAUUGACUUCUAAUUUUCCCAUCGAUAUGUUAUCGAGACUGUUCGGUAAGACAUAUGAAUGGAGCUAAAAUGGCCAUUUGGUAUUAAAGGUAGUCCUUAAUUCGCAGUCCUGGGUGCCAUUGAUUACAUCUUAGCUUCAAACUCAACUAAACAUCAUCAUAUUAGCUAUUGUUGUAUGCAUAGCACACAUCUAUAUACAUUUGUGCUUCAGGAGUUUUUCCAGGAAUGGUACGAUUCCAUAUAAAGCACAGAGGAUGAAGAAAUGUGAUCUGUUGAACAAAAUAUAUCACCUUUCAAGUACAUUAGGUUUUGCAAGUUCUUGCUGAAUCUUUUUCGUGCCGGCUAAAUGAUAAGAUAUGGAUGGGCACUUAAUUGCAGAUGACUCUUCCGUAAGUAGCCUUGCUCUCCAUUCCUACAAUACAGCAAGAAACAAAACUUAAGUCACACCUUUCAAGCAUUGACCCAGGGCUUAAGAUUUCCGCACUUCUUACUAUUUUAUGACAUAGGGUUUUCAAGUGGCACUAAUUUGACGCCUGUCAACUUCUUGAGGUUGUGUGAAGAAUGGAUUUCAUAUUUCCUCUUAUUGGUUUCUUUCCAUUCCCUCUGUUUACUUACUUUGUGGAUAAUCAUUUAUUUGCAUUCCACCCAGAAAUUUUUUUAAGUUGAUGACAUUUUCUGGAACAAAGUCCACUUUUUCCAUAACCAAUUGGACAAACUUGGUUAUUUGGAGGAAAUGUCAUGAUUACAUUGUUUAGUAUUCUUUUACAUCGCAUAAUGCUAUAUGUUUUGAACAUUAAGUCAAUUGUUUAGCCAAGCUUGGCUUACGAAUGUUCAUACGUACAUUAUCAAGUAUUGUUCAUUGUGGCCAGUCUCAUGGAAUUAUGAUAUAGUAAUGAGGGAAUCCUAACAAUCAAAAUGUGCAGGAAAUAGAGAAGUAUAUUAUAAUCAUGAAUCUAACAGAAAUAAUCGACUUGCAUAAAACAUCAUGAGGAUACUAAUAAUCGUUCUAUUCAAUCAUCAAUACAUAUAAAUGUAAAUCUUUAUGAAAACUAGAGUAAGGAUGCAGUCAUUAUAACAUUGUAAGAAAUGCUGACGCAGAAAUAUUUUAUGAGAAGAAUAAAACCCGCCUCAAACGCGGGAUUUUCACUAGUAUGGUAAUAAAACAUAUCUAUAAAGAAAGCAUCUGGUAAAGCUAAAAUGGAAGGAGAAAUUUUCCGAAAAUUAAUCACAACUACAAUCAAUAUUACCUCCCCCUUCCCUCUGGGGCUUCAUGACAAAUAGCUCGGGACUUUCAAUUGCUUUACCAACAAUAUGAGGGUCUUCUAAGCUCCAUAAACCUGCAAAGGAUUUCUGGAUCUCGGCAAUGUCUUCUUUCUUCUCAAGGAAUCUGAUAUAUGCACCAAUGGAGUCUCGUAAGUGAUCAAACACGUAGGAGAUACAGUCUAUUCGACAGCUCAUCUUCUCCUGUAAUUAAAUUGACUUCUAAUGUUCCCAUCGAUAUGUUAUCGAGACUGUUCGGUAAGACAUAUGAAAGGAGCUAAAAUGGCCAUUUGGUAUUAAAAGUAGUCCUUAAUUCGCAGUCCUGGGUGCCAUUGAUUACAUCUAAGCUUCAAACUCAACUAAACAUCAUCAUAUUAGCUAUUGUUGUAUGCAUAGCACACAUCUAUAUACAGACAAAAUGAGUUUCAGUCUAAUAAAAUGUAAAGCAAAGCUGGGAGCGCUUCAAGCAUCCAGCGCCGCUGCUGGUGGCGCUGUCCUGCCUUCCUCCAUAUCCGGGAGCCCCACUUUCUCCAGUAGUGCCUGAAACUGGGAUCGGUCCUCCUCCUCCUCCAUCCAUCCUCCUCCUCCGCUGCCUGUCCUUCAUCCAUGGCAUCUGGUUCCGUACGGAAGACGGAAAAUACAAGGGUUGCUCCCUGCUGUGCUGUCAUUUGCAGAAUAAAACUCUAGAGCAAAACACAAAUCAGUAUUCUUCCUAUUCCCAAAAAAAAGGCACAGCAAAAGAAAAGAGAAUACAUGGUUGAAGUUGUAUGGUAGCACAACGUCCUCUUCCCUCCCAUACUGUCCACCAAAGGAGGCGUAGAUGCGUUGAGCGACGUGGUCAACGAACGCAUCGAACUCAUCCAAAUGGAACUUGAAUCUAUCCAAACCGUUCACAAACGCAGCAAUGGCCUCCGGGGUCCCAAGACGGACCCCAUCAAAAUCCAUGCACGCUUCAUCAUAAAAGCUUAUCAGCUCUUGCCUAUCCCUUGCCAAAAUAUCAUGGUAUAACACACCCCAACCUGCCGCCAUGUCUUUGAGUCUUUCAUCAUCCAUACCUCUGUUCUGUUCAAGAACAAUAGGUGCAAAUAACGUACGCAUAAAGAAAAAAAGGAAAAAAAAAAAAAUGGCAGAGCUCGACCUCAUUUCCACAUACUGACCUGUCGACGACGCUCGAAGGGAAAAAGACGGUGGAGCCUCACCGCGAUCGCCGUCCGACGUUUGCAGAGAUUCGACGACGAAAUGAGAGAGCGGGGCGGUAUUCUGUUUAGGAUGACCGAGAAAUGGGUUUUCUCUUCCACCAAUCAGAGUUUUAAAUUUGGGAAAACACGUUUCGCGACGUCGUUUAUACUAUGUAUGCGGAGUUAGAGCAUGGGUGAGCCAAGUCAGAUUGAAAAAAAAAAAAAAUUGAUAAAAUAUUACUUAUUUUGAAUUUUCAACUAUUCAAAUCAAAGUUAACACUUGAAGUGAAUCAAUAAAGCUACAUCUACCACCACCGCCCGGCCACCAAUCUUUCCUUACACGAGAUACGAGAUUCGAGAUUGGACAGGAUAAUUCCUACUCGCCGACAUUAGACAACUCUCAAAUGGAUGAACUGGCAUUGGAUAGAGCCGUCUGAUUGGGGCAUUUUUCUGCUUCUAGGGUUUGUGUGUGGAAAUCGAACUUACUUAAAUUGUGAAGAUGUUUAAACCAAUUCGAAUUUGUGAAAGAUAUUUCUGCUUCUAGGGUUUGUGUGUGGAAAUCAAACUUACUUAAAUUGUGAAGAUGUUUAAACCAAUUCGAAUUUGUGAAAAACACGUACACAUCAGCAUUCAAAGUCCCCCUCAAAUUUAGUCGCGAUAUUUCUAUUAAUCAAGAUAAUAUAUAUAAUGAUUUCCCAAAAAUAGUCAUAAAACUUAUUACAAGGAUACCAAUUCAGUCUAAAAUUUUUCAAUUUGCUUAAUUUAGUCCUAACCUUUUAUUAAGAUUUGUCAAUAGUCUAUUCGAGCAAUUUUAAAUGACGAUAGGUGGUUGUUAGCCAAAAUUGACCGAAAUUGCUAUAUUGGUAAAUCUUCAAAAGUUUAAAAUUGAAUUAAUACAUUGAAAAAUUUUGAUUGAAUUUGCAUUUAUAUAUUAAGUUUGAGACUUAAAAAGAAAAAUCUCAUGUGCAUUGGUGGAGAAUCCGAAUGCGGUGUCAUAUCUUUUCAUUUGAAAUGUUAAUGUUUGAUACGCAUGCUGUGUUAAGCUGUAUAACGACAUGUAAACCAAAGUCCGUACAUCAUAUCUGGAAAGAUUUCGAUCGGCUAAGGACAAAUACCCGGUUAUUAUCCCACAUGGGAAAUCCGCCAACCGCGCGGUGGCAAGUCAAUGAUCUCAUCUCAAGGAUUGACCGCCGAGGUGGCCAGAGCAGCACCUCACAUUUGGCUUUUGUAGAAGAAGAAUCAAAGCGCUUUUCUUUUUGGUAUAUCUAUGAUGAUGAUGAUAUUAUUAUUAUUAUUAUUAUUAUUAUUAUUAUUAUUAUUAUUGAUCUAAUUCUCACGGACUCAAUAUAAUAUUCACACAUACCACGAGGACAUCUAGAGGACCGCAUGCACAUACGUAAGGUAUUCAUUUAUUUAUUAUUGGGUUUCCACGUUGUCUCUUCCUUUUUCUCCUUUUUCUUUUUUCAUUUUUAUAUUCCUUAGAAAUUAGCAGCCCCUUUAGAAGAAGCCUCUAUUCAAGGGGAAGAAAAGGUCGUCUCGGACUCCCCCAUCAUUGAGGUUCCACUAAAAUGACCAUUAAUUCAGGUUUUAAAUUCAAAGAGAUUGUCUCAGGUACCAACUCCUAACAAAAAAAUUAAAUUGGUCUAUACCAUGAUUUUGAUAAUUCAAAGAGAUUGUCUAAGGGAGAACCAUCACUUCAACGGGUUGCUUAUUAAACUCUCUUUUGAACUUAUCGUGGAAUCAAACUGAAUUUCAAAUGAUGACAACAAGAGCAUGUGCAGGUGCAUGGUGCUUGCAUGUAUCUUUGCGAUAUAUGGGAAAUUGGGUCAUUUGCAUGAAAAAGCUGUAGGUGCUUCUUACUUUCUUAGUUUGCUAUUGAAAGCACACGGAAAUCGAAAACCAUGGAGAAGUCUAUCAAGUGACUAAACUUGAUUAAUCUGUAGAGCAUGGCACCUAGAGUUAGGCGUAUUGUCGAUCUUGAAUUUCAACGGGUUGUUUAUUAAACUCUCUUUUGAACUUAUCGUGGAAUCAAACUGAAUUUUAGAUGAUGGCAUCAAGAAUAUGUGCAAGUCGCCACGCUUGCGUGUAUAUUUGCGAUAUAUGGAAAUGGAAAUCAAAAUCGGGCCACUUGCAUGGAAAAAGUUGGAAUUGCUUUUUACUUUCUUAGUUGGCUAUUGAAAGCACGUGGAAAUUGAAAACUAUGGAGAAGUCCAUCAAGUGACUAACCUUGAUUAAUCUGUAGAGUUAGGCGUACCGUCGGUCUUGAAUUUUCCGUAUGCAUCGUGAUGAGGGUAUAGAUAAGGGCUUUGCCUAGUAGAGAGGGGUGUGCACGCUAAAUUUUCAGCAUUAAGCUAAAACAUUCUCCUGUGGGUGAUCUAUAGUCUACUGACGCUAGACGCCCUUCUUUUUUCUUUUUUCUGGGUGUGAAAUUAAAAAGAAAAAGAAAAAAAGAGAAGUAAAACUUGUUAGAAACAAUAAUUAUCAAGUUGGAAUGUAGAAAUCAUGUUCAAUGUAUUGUUACUGUGAUUUAAUAUUUGCUUCUUUUCGUUUCUAAUUUGCUAAUAACUUGACAUCCCUUCUAUAGUUAAAAAGGUUGUGAUAGUUGCGGACGAAGACUUUUGCAUUACAUUGUUUAGGCUGUUUUUUCACAUGCAUUGCUUGUCACUAUAUAGUAAUGAUCUUUUAAAAUGAGCAAUAAACUUAUAUCUUAACCCAUAUUUGAAAAGUUGAGUUAUUGCAUGGAUUAGUUAUAUUUAGUAAAUGGAUUUAAAAUAGUAAAGUCUAAAAUAAUAUGGAUAUUAAACAAACUCACGGUUUACUUAAACCAAUUCACCUCUAUGACUCUCUCUCGCCCUUACUAAUCUCGCAAUCACUCACUCCACGUCCUUACCUCAGUUUGCAGAUGAGUUUUCCUAUAUUAGGUAGAACAUGAAAGCGCUUUAACCAUAUGAAUUAGGUUAGAUAGAAAAACGCGUCAGAUCAUUAUGAGUAUCUAAAUUUGUAUUGCAUAAAAAUAAGUCAAAACAACUUAAAUUGGCCAAAUUAGGUCAAUUUAUUUUUCACUCAACCCAAACCCAACCUAAUCCACCCAUUUCACGAGUCUCUAUAAUACUAAGUAUUAGGUUUUUAUCUCUUGUUUCCAACUAUACAAAUUUUUUUUCUAAAGUAUUAAAGCUCGAUGGUCAGAGUUCUAAUCCUAACCCCGACACAUACUAUUCUUCACGCGUACUUCGAUUUUUGGCAUGCCCACAUUUGUCUACCUUUUCCAUUCUUGUUGUCAUAGAAUCCUCACCAUGUCCUAAAUUGAGGAAUGAAUUAGACUGAAGAAGUAAUUUCGUAGGGAAGUCGACUCAUGCCGUUUGUUCAGAAGAUCGCCUCAAAGUAAAUGGAUUGAUUCGCUUGGAGGAAAUUGAUGUGCACUUGUCGGUGCGUCUAACAUUUUUUUUUUUAUAAAUAUCAUUUGUAUUGAAUGACUAAAAUAUAUUUUUAUUUUUCUAUGCAAAUAUUUAAAAAUAAAUGGUUAUCGAUAAAGAAAUUACUUUGUAUUGAUUAAUUAUUUCAUAAAAUAAGCAAUUAUUUUUAAAAUAUAUAUUUUCAGAUUAUUUAUUUUUCACCAAACAAACGGAGUUUGCUUAAUUGUUCGAUUGAUGCUAUUGGUGUUUCUUUUCAAUUCAAUCGCCUCGUCAACAAUCUCCUCUGACCCCUUAACGAACCCCUCUCUCUCUCUUCAAUUCCCUCACCUCCUCGCACGUACCCCGCCCGCAUUGUCUCCUCCUCCUGCAAUUGCCGUUUUUCCAAUUUCACCGCCUUCAUCGCCACCUCCACCUCCUCGAUACGCCCCUCCCCUCUCCUAAUCUCAUCCAUCCAUCUCAGAACCACCGAAACCUUCUCCAGCAAUCUCUCCGUGCAAUUCCAAUACUCGUGCCCUUUCACUUCCGACCGCUCCUCAAUUCUCUCCAAAUUCAGCCGUAGCGGUGGCGAAGAAGGGGCUGAACUGGAAAAAGAAAAAACAAGGGGGGGCUUUCUAGUCUUUUCAGCCGACAGAGAACCGGUUUCGGGUCGGUCGGUGGAUCCGGACCCGAUGAUUCCAAAAUAAAAAAGAAAACCCUGGAAGCCCUAGAGAAAUUGUCUCCAGUUCACACAGAUCCAGCAGGAGGAGGAGGAGGAGGAGGAGGAGGAGAGAUGUCGACGAUCGGUCCAGAAGACGUGACAGAAGCGGAAGGAGGAGGAGGAGGAGAGAUGUCGAUGGUGGGUCCGGAAGAAGACAGGGAUCCGAUGAUAGCGGAGGCCAAGCGGUUCGUGGAGAACUACUACAGCACGUUCGACGCGAACAGGGAGGGCUUGGUGAACCUGUACCGGCAACGAUCGGUGCUGAAAAUCGACGGCCGGAAGAUCCAGGGCAAGGAGGCUAUCCUCGCCAAACUCAC